This 202-nucleotide unclassified non-coding RNA is filed under the name uncultured Termitomyces. Its description in RNAcentral is "sequence contains ITS2". The record is from RNAcentral. Lineage: Eukaryota; Fungi; Basidiomycota; Agaricomycetes; Agaricales; Lyophyllaceae.
AAUUUUCAACCUAACCAGCUUUUUGUGAGCUUGGAAUAGGCUUGGAUGUGGGGGUCUUGCUGGCUUCACCAGAAGUCAGCUCCCCUUAAAUGUAUUAGUAGAACCUUUUGUUGACCUGUUCCUGAUGUGAUAAUUAUCUACACCAUGCACAGUCAGCUUAGUUUAAUGGGCUUCUGCUUAUAACCCCCUUCUACUUUUGACC